UACGUAAAAGACUAGUGUUAUUCAUCUUUAAUAGGUUUAAAGGGUACCUAGACGGUAUUAUUAGCCCAAAAUAGGGGUACUAUUUUUACUAGAGUUUUUAUAUGAGAAGGAAGUAUUUUUAUGGAGGAGAGAUAAAAAUAUUAUGAUACCUUAAAGACUGGCAAUGGCGAAAGCAACCUUCUAUCUAAUAACUGACGUUGAGGGACGAAGGCCUGGGAGCAAACAGG
This 227-nucleotide ribosomal RNA is filed under the name uncultured bacterium. RNAcentral's name for it is "partial 16S ribosomal RNA". It matches the Rfam family "Bacterial small subunit ribosomal RNA", at positions 524 to 776 of the family's 1533-position model. The record is from RNAcentral.